RNAcentral lists this ribosomal RNA (628 nucleotides) under uncultured bacterium. Its description in RNAcentral is "bacterial SSU rRNA". It matches the Rfam family "Bacterial small subunit ribosomal RNA", at positions 163 to 807 of the family's 1533-position model. The record is from RNAcentral.
CUAAUACCGCAUAAGCCCACGGCUCGGCAUCGAGCAGAGGGAAAAGGAGCAAUCCGCUUUGAGAUGGCCUCGCGUCCGAUUAGCUAGUUGGUGAGGUAACGGCCCACCAAGGCGACGAUCGGUAGCCGGACUGAGAGGUUGAACGGCCACAUUGGGACUGAGACACGGCCCAGACUCCUACGGGAGGCAGCAGUGGGGAAUAUUGCACAAUGGGGGAAACCCUGAUGCAGCGACGCCGCGUGGAGGAAGAAGGUCUUCGGAUUGUAAACUCCUGUUGUUGGGGAAGAUAAUGACGGUACCCAACAAGGAAGUGACGGCUAACUACGUGCCAGCAGCCGCGGUAAAACGUAGGUCACAAGCGUUGUCCGGAAUUACUGGGUGUAAAGGGAGCGCAGGCGGGAAGACAAGUUGGAAGUGAAAUCUAUGGGCUCAACCCAUAAACUGCUUUCAAAACUGUUUUUCUUGAGUAGUGCAGAGGUAGGCGGAAUUCCCGGUGUAGCGGUGGAAUGCGUAGAUAUCGGGAGGAACACCAGUGGCGAAGGCGGCCUACUGGGCACCAACUGACGCUGAGGCUCGAAAGUGUGGGUAGCAAACAGGAUUAGAUACCCUGGUAGUCCACACUGUAAAC